Molecule: transfer RNA, 71 nt
Filed under: Dipodomys ordii (Ord's kangaroo rat)
Lineage: Eukaryota; Metazoa; Chordata; Mammalia; Rodentia; Heteromyidae
Rfam family: tRNA
About the family: Transfer RNA (tRNA) molecules are approximately 80 nucleotides in length. Their secondary structure includes four short double-helical elements and three loops (D, anti-codon, and T loops). Further hydrogen bonds mediate the characteristic L-shaped molecular structure. tRNAs have two regions of fundamental functional importance: the anti-codon, which is responsible for specific mRNA codon recognition, and the 3' end, to which the tRNAs corresponding amino acid is attached (by aminoacyl-tRNA synthetases). tRNAs cope with the degeneracy of the genetic code in two manners: having more than one tRNA (with a specific anti-codon) for a particular amino acid; and 'wobble' base-pairing, i.e. permitting non-standard base-pairing at the 3rd anti-codon position.
Source: Rfam by way of RNAcentral
GGACAUGGUUCAAAUGGUACAGCACGUGCCUUUUAAGCACGAGGCCCUGAGUUCAAUCCUCUGUAUGGCCA